UUUACAGUAAUUGUCCCAGCCUGUAUCUAAGGCCAACGUAACAAUUAUCAUGGUUAAAGAACUUCAAGUAUCAAGCCAGGACUGAACUAGGUAAUUACAUGAACAUCACAUUGAGGUAGAAAUUAAUGCGACAAUAAGGAACCACUGGCUAGGCGUCCAAACAGGGUUACACCAUGAAAGAUGCCUACUUUUACCUCAGGGAGAGGAGAUGGAUUUCAGGUAAAAGAAAACUUGUGGGAGAAGGCAUUUCAGGGAUGAGACAGGUGAG
This 268-nucleotide long non-coding RNA is filed under the name Bos taurus (domestic cattle). RNAcentral describes it as "long non-coding RNA NONBTAT017884". Lineage: Eukaryota; Metazoa; Chordata; Mammalia; Artiodactyla; Bovidae. The record is from RNAcentral.